Molecule: long non-coding RNA, 1235 nt
Organism: Gallus gallus (chicken)
Lineage: Eukaryota; Metazoa; Chordata; Aves; Galliformes; Phasianidae
Source: Ensembl
GGGGGACUGGGGAGGAGUGGGGGUCCUCCAAAGCCAUAGAGUUGUGGCACUUGAGGGGAUAGAGUGGCCACAGGGGUUGUUGGGGGGACUGGGUAGGCCUGGAGGUCCUCCAGAGCCAUAGAGUUAUAGCGUGUGUGGGGCUAGAGUGGGCAUAAGGUUGCUUGGAGGACUGGGGAGGCCUGGAGGUCCUCCAGAGUCAUAAAGUUGGGGGAUAUGUGGGGAUAGAGUGGGUAUAAGGGUUGCUUGGAGGACUGUGUAGGCCUUGAGGUCCUCCAGAGCCAUAGAGUUGUGGCACUUGAGGGGAUAGAGUGGCCACAGGGGUUGUUGGGGGGACUGGGUAGGCAGGAGUCCUCCAGAGCCAUAGAGUUCUAGCGUGUGUGGGGCUAGAGUGGGCAUAAGGGUUGCUUGGAGGGCUGGGGGUCCUCCAGGGUCAUAGAGUUGCGGGGUGGGUGGGGGGAGAGCGGGCGGUUUUGCGUUCGGAGGACUCACCAUUCACCUGCCCAUAGCCGGAAGUCCUCCAGAACCAUAGAGUUCUAGCGUGUGUGGGGCUAGAGUGGGCAUAAGGGUUGCUUGGAGGACUGGGUAGGCCUGGAGGUCCUCCAGAGCCAUGGAGUUAUAGGGUGUGUGGGGCUAGAGUGGGCAUAAGGGUUGCUUGGAGGGCUGGGUAGGCCUGGAGGUCCUCCAGAGCCAUAGAGUUGUGGCACUUGAGGGGCUAGAGUGGGCAUAAGGGUUGCUUGGAGGGCUGGGUAGGCCUUGAGGUCCUCCAGAGCCAUAGAGUUCUAGCGUGUGUGGGGCUAGAGUGGGCAUAAGGGUUGCUUGGAGGGUUGGCUAGGCCUGGAGGUCCUCCAGAGUCAUAAAGUUGGGGGAUAUGUGGGGAUAGAGUGGGCAUAAGGGUUGCUUGGAGGACUGUGUAGGCCUGGAGGUCCUCCAGAGCCAUAGAGUUGUGGCAGUUGAGGGGAUAGAGUGGCCACAGGGGUUGCUUGGGGGACUGGGGAGGGGUGGGGACCUCCAGAGCCAUAGAGUUGGGGGAUAUGUGGGGAUAGAGUGGGCAUAAGGGUUGCUGGGAGGGCUGGCUAGGCCUGGAGGACCUCCAGAGUCAUAGAGUUGUGGCACUUGAGGGGAUAGAGUGGCCACAGGGGUUGUUGGGGGGACUGGGUAGGCAGGAGUGCUCCAGAGCCAUAGAGUUAUAGCGUGUGUGGGGCUAGAGUGGGCAUAAGUGUUGCUUGGAGGGCUGG